CCUACGGGUGGCAGCAGUGAGGAAUAUUGGUCAAUGGUCGCGAGACUGACCCAGCCAAGUCGCGUGAAGGAUGAAUGCCCUAUGGGUUGUAAACUUCUUUUAUCAGGGAGUAAAGUCAGGCACGUGUGCCUGUUUGUAUGUACUUUAUGAAUAAGAAUCGGCUAACUCCGUGCCAGCAGCCGCGGUACUACGGAGGAUUCGAGCGUUAUCCGGAUUUGUUGGGUUUAACGGGAGCGUAGGUGGGUUGUUAAGUCAGUUGUUAAAUUUUGCGGCUCAACCUUAACAUUGCAAUUGAUACUGGCAGCCUUGAGUAUAGGUGAGGUAGGCGGAAUUCGUGGUGUAGCGGUGAAAUGCUUAGAUAUCACGAAGAACUCCGAUUGCGAAGGCAGCCUACU
This 395-nucleotide ribosomal RNA is filed under the name uncultured bacterium. RNAcentral describes it as "partial 16S ribosomal RNA". It matches the Rfam family "Bacterial small subunit ribosomal RNA", at positions 338 to 730 of the family's 1533-position model. The record is from RNAcentral.